This 1495-nucleotide long non-coding RNA is filed under the name Salmo salar (Atlantic salmon). RNAcentral's name for it is "lncRNA (ENSSSAG00000084137.1)". Lineage: Eukaryota; Metazoa; Chordata; Actinopteri; Salmoniformes; Salmonidae. The record is from RNAcentral.
AUUAAUCGGUGUACAGUCAGUUUAAAGCAACAACACCAUAUUCUGAGAAAGAACUUGCUUAUCCACUGCAAACAAUCCCUAAAUGACUGCACUUGGCUUCUGCUCUUCAAUAAUCCUGGACUUGAUGCCCUUCAGUCCACGUUAACAAGGUUGAUUCGGGAGGGACAAAAUGGCGCCGUAGGGAGAACACUGUGUUUCAGCAAACUACUGUGGCGUUCUUUAAUUUCUCUUUUUAUAUAAAUUUUCUAGCUUGAAAAAGUGGUAGAAUUUGCUAAAUAAGCUAUCCUACAAUGAGUAUUUCUCUAGAAUUUCCGACAGCAUGCCCAGCAGAACUACUAAGAACUCGACCAAAACCACCACCUCUGUAGAUGUGCAGGAGGAGCUAGCUAACGUUAGCGAAGCUAACACCAUUGCGGAUCCAGGCACAAUGGACCUGGUGAUUCAAAGGAUGACGGAUAACAUUACUAAAGUGAUCGAUGUUAAGAUAGUAAUGGUCUUAGAAGCAAUAGCAGGCCAUUCAGAAGAACUACAGAGGGUUGUCAAGCGUGUGGAUAAAGCAGAAAGAAGAAUUGCUACUGUGGAAACUUCAACUACAUCAAUGGACACUAAGAUAAAGGCACUUGAGAAACAGGUGCAUGAAAUGGCGGAGCACAUUGACGACAUGGAUAAUCGAGGACGCAGAUGCAAUAUCCGUGUUGUGGGACUCCCAGAAAAUUCUGAAGGGACACGUUCAGUAAACAUUUUUGAGGAAUGGAUCCCUGGCUACCUACAAAUGGACACUAAAGCUGGUCAUGUGAAGCUGGAUAGAACCCAUCGCUCUCAAGCACUGAUACCCGGUCCCAACCAGCGCCCACGACCAGUGGUUAUAAAGUUCCACAACUUCACUGAUAAGCAGCGCGUCAUGGAUGCGGCCAGACGCAUCGGUUCUUUACGGUAGUCAACGUCAAGGUCCAUGGGUCUCAUUCUUCAAUGAUUAUUCCACAGCAGUUGUACGAAGACGCAAGGCGUUCGAUGAGGUGAACCUCAUCGAACGCCUUAUUCUCUUUAUUCAAGAGAAUAAAGAUGGACUACUACGCGCUGCUGUACCCCUCCAUAUUGAAGAUUAUGGUCAACGGAUCGCCUAAAAAAACUCUACACACCUGAAGAGGCUGCUGCGUUUAUUGACUCUCUCGGAAUGGAAACCAUGCAGAGAAGCCUUGAGUGGGCUAGGCUGAUAAAUGUUGCUUCAGCAGAUGAUCUAAUUGAUCAAGUAUCUCAGUUCAUUCAGGAGAUUCAUACCUCUGGCUGACAUCAAGGUAAGCAGCAUUGUAGUGGGUGUGGUUGGGCUUACUGUUGAGCAAUCAAACAGUAUUGUAUGAUAGGCCGCUGAUUUUUUUUCACUCUUCGUUCUCCUGCUGCCCAUUGUAUUUGUUCUUGGUUAACAUUUCUAUUCAUGUCUUGGAUUUAAAAUCCAAUGUUAAAAAAAGAUUACCGGGCCACAAUGUGUGACAGUUAC